ACAAAAAUAUGAAUGCUUCGAUUGGAUUGAAGCAAGUAUCCAGAUACUUAUGAAUGGUAGUGUGUAUCUUGUAUCUUGUGUGCAUCGUGUAGAAUACAUCUUGGUAUAUCGCGCUUAAGUAUCUGAAUACUUGGUGCGAUCCUGUCGAAUCCAUAAGAAAGUAACAAGAAAUAAAGUACAGAAAGAAAUAAAGAAUUAAACGACAAAGAAAGAUUCUUCUACAAUAUAAUAUCGGGUAUGUGAUAAAAAUAUCAGUGUUUCGAUUAGAGUGCACUAAGUAAAUAUAAAUAUUUAUGCACGAUUAGUAUACAUCCUGAUGAUACGAUAAAAGCGUGGGAAGCGUUGCCUUUAUCAGUUCGUCGUUCAUUUGUACAGUCUAGUCAAAUUCACAAACUGUUGUUACAAUUCGAUAAAGAUACUUAUGAGCGGUAGUGUAGACUGGAGGAAAACAAGAGAAAAACCACAAGAGAGAAAAGUAGUAGGAGUACUCGAAUGUCGACGAGCAUUGCGAAAAAACAACCGGUGGAAAGCAGGAUUUUUGCCGCGUUCCCUUGCGAAAUCCAUGUCUCAACGUCGUCGUUAUCGUUCGUACCCUGUCCCUUGACCUGCCAUAAACCAUCUUCCAUCCAUUCGUCGUCCGCAUUCCCUCGUUGUUUCUUAAGUCUCAACUAUCCAUAUUCGUAUCCAUAUUGGGUGCUACGUGCGUAAUUUCCUAGGCGCCUGUUGCAAGUUUCAGCACCUAUGAAGCCAGUUUCCAUAGAUUUCAGAAAUUAUUCGCAGUCCAACGUUGGCGGACUAACUUACUGCAACGAGUAACUUGGAUGACAAGUGCAAUUAGGCUCCUGGAGUUUCACGAGCAGCCACCAGCACCGCUAUGAAUAACUUGUCAAUUAAUCGUGAUUAUCGACAAGUAAUGGCGAGAGCGGAGAACAAGAGCCUCAUAAGGACAAGUUUCACAAGCUGACGUUUACGUCACGCUAUACCGAUCCUUCUACGAAGAUGGACGUAAACUCGCUUGUUAAUUGACCGCGAAAGCAUUAAAACGUGAUUUCAGGUCAAUUUCGUGCGCGUAUACUGUAUACGCACGGACGAACGUUACGUGAAACGAAAAGUCCUCGGGAGCUUCCAAACUCCUUCAGAAAUUUUCAGAAUUUUUCCAACGAUUUCCAGAUGCCUCGGUAGCUUUCAGGAUCCUUCACAGGCUAUCAGAGGCCUUCGAAAAUUUGACGAUCCUUCCGAAACCUUCGCAGAAACUUGUACUAUCUUUUCUGAGUCUCGAAACCUAGGGAUCUUCCUUGGUGAUUUUCUAGGUAUCUUCGUAGGUACCUUCAGAGGGAAUUCC
Bombus impatiens (common eastern bumble bee) is the source of this 1342-nucleotide long non-coding RNA. RefSeq lists it as uncharacterized. The transcript has 5 exons. The record is from RefSeq and is a predicted model, not a curated record. Lineage: Eukaryota; Metazoa; Arthropoda; Insecta; Hymenoptera; Apidae.